UGGCUUAGUUGGUAGAGCAUGGUGUUUGCAAUGCCAGGGUUGUGGGUUUGAUUCCCAC
RNAcentral lists this transfer RNA (58 nucleotides) under Salmo salar (Atlantic salmon). It matches the Rfam family "tRNA", at positions 8 to 63 of the family's 71-position model. Rfam says of the family: Transfer RNA (tRNA) molecules are approximately 80 nucleotides in length. Their secondary structure includes four short double-helical elements and three loops (D, anti-codon, and T loops). Lineage: Eukaryota; Metazoa; Chordata; Actinopteri; Salmoniformes; Salmonidae. The record is from Rfam by way of RNAcentral.